This 490-nucleotide ribosomal RNA is filed under the name uncultured bacterium. RNAcentral describes it as "partial 16S ribosomal RNA". It matches the Rfam family "Bacterial small subunit ribosomal RNA", at positions 30 to 507 of the family's 1533-position model. The record is from RNAcentral.
AUUGAACGCUGGCGGCAGGCCUAACACAUGCAAGUCGAACGGUAACAGGAAGAAGCUUGCUUCUUUGCUGACGAGUGGCGGACGGGUGAGUAAUGUCUGGGAAACUGCCUGAUGGAGGGGGAUAACUACUGGAAACGGUAGCUAAUACCGCAUAACGUCGCAAGACCAAAGAGGGGGACCUUCGGGCCUCUUGCCAUCGGAUGUGCCCAGAUGGGAUUAGCUAGUAGGUGGGGUAACGGCUCACCUAGGCGACGAUCCCUAGCUGGUCUGAGAGGAUGACCAGCCACACUGGAACUGAGACACGGUCCAGACUCCUACGGGAGGCAGCAGUGGGGAAUAUUGCACAAUGGGCGCAAGCCUGAUGCAGCCAUGCCGCGUGUAUGAAGAAGGCCUUCGGGUUGUAAAGUACUUUCAGCGGGGAGGAAGGGAGUAAAGUUAAUACCUUUGCCCAUUGACGUUAUCCGCAGAAGAAGCACCGGCUAACUCCGUG